UUGUUACUCCCUCCGUCCGAAAAUACUUGUCGGAGAAAUGAAUAAAAAUGGAUGUACCUAGAAUUAAAAUAUAUCUAGAUACAUCCAUUUAUCUGACAAGUAUUUCCGGACGGAAGGAGUACUUU
Non-coding RNA from Triticum aestivum (bread wheat), 125 nucleotides. Lineage: Eukaryota; Viridiplantae; Streptophyta; Magnoliopsida; Poales; Poaceae. The record is from Rfam.